This 253-nucleotide ribosomal RNA is filed under the name uncultured bacterium. RNAcentral's name for it is "partial 16S ribosomal RNA". It matches the Rfam family "Bacterial small subunit ribosomal RNA", at positions 524 to 776 of the family's 1533-position model. The record is from RNAcentral.
UACGGGGGGGGCAAGCGUUGUUCGGAAUUACUGGGCGUAAAGGGCUCGUAGGUGGCCAACUAAGUCAGACGUGAAAUCCCUCAGCUUAACUGGGGAACUGCGUCUGAUACUGGUUGGCUUGAAUCCGGGAGAGGGAUGUGGAAUUCCAGGUGUAGCGGUGAAAUGCGUAGAUAUCUGGAGGAACACCGGUGGCGAAGGCGGCAUCCUGGACCAACACUGACGCUGAGGGGCGAAAGCCAGGGGAGCAAACGGG